This 1369-nucleotide ribosomal RNA is filed under the name uncultured bacterium. Its description in RNAcentral is "bacterial SSU rRNA". It matches the Rfam family "Bacterial small subunit ribosomal RNA", at positions 28 to 1381 of the family's 1533-position model. The record is from RNAcentral.
GACGAACGCUGGCGGCGUGCCUAAUACAUGCAAGUAGAACGCUGAAGAGAGGAGCUUGCUCUUCUUGGAUGAGUUGCGAACGGGUGAGUAACGCGUAGGUAACCUGCCUUGUAGCGGGGGAUAACUAUUGGAAACGAUAGCUAAUACCGCAUAACAAUGGAUGACACAUGUCAUUUAUUUGAAAGGGGCAAUUGCUCCACUACAAGAUGGACCUGCGUUGUAUUAGCUAGUAGGUGAGGUAACGGCUCACCUAGGCGACGAUACAUAGCCGACCUGAGAGGGUGAUCGGCCACACUGGGACUGAGACACGGCCCAGACUCCUACGGGAGGCAGCAGUAGGGAAUCUUCGGCAAUGGGGGCAACCCUGACCGAGCAACGCCGCGUGAGUGAAGAAGGUUUUCGGAUCGUAAAGCUCUGUUGUAAGUCAAGAACGAGUGUGAGAGUGGAAAAUUCACACUGUGACGGUAGCUUACCAGAAAGGGACGGCUAACUACGUGCCAGCAGCCGCGGUAAUACGUAGGUCCCGAGCGUUGUCCGGAUUUAUUGGGCGUAAAGCGAGCGCAGGCGGUUUGAUAAGUCUGAAGUUAAAGGCUGUGGCUCAACCAUAGUUCGCUUUGGNAACUGUCAAACUUGAGUGCAGAAGGGGAGAGUGGAAUUCCAUGUGUAGCGGUGAAAUGCGUAGAUAUAUGGAGGAACACCGGUGGCGAAAGCGGCUCUCUGGUCUGUAACUGACGCUGAGGCUCGAAAGCGUGGGGAGCGAACAGGAUUAGAUACCCUGGUAGUCCACGCCGUAAACGAUGAGUGCUAGGUGUUGGAUCCUUUCCGGGAUUCAGUGCCGCAGCUAACGCAUUAAGCACUCCGCCUGGGGAGUACGACCGCAAGGUUGAAACUCAAAGGAAUUGACGGGGGCCCGCACAAGCGGUGGAGCAUGUGGUUUAAUUCGAAGCAACGCGAAGAACCUUACCAGGUCUUGACAUCCCGAUGCUAUUUCUAGAGAUAGAAAGUUACUUCGGUACAUCGGUGACAGGUGGUGCAUGGUUGUCGUCAGCUCGUGUCGUGAGAUGUUGGGUUAAGUCCCGCAACGAGCGCAACCCCUAUUGUUAGUUGCCAUCAUUCAGUUGGGCACUCUAGCGAGACUGCCGGUAAUAAACCGGAGGAAGGUGGGGAUGACGUCAAAUCAUCAUGCCCCUUAUGACCUGGGCUACACACGUGCUACAAUGGUUGGUACAACGAGUUGCGAGUCGGUGACGGCAAGCUAAUCUCUUAAAGCCAAUCUCAGUUCGGAUUGUAGGCUGCAACUCGCCUACAUGAAGUCGGAAUCGCUAGUAAUCGCGGAUCAGCACGCCGCGGUGAAUACGUUCCCGGGCCU